CUGAGUUGCAAAAAUGGAACCUGUUGAUAUUUUCCUGUUUUUUCUUACAGACUACUCAGUAAUAGGAAACUACUGAUAUCUGCCUUUGCAGAUGUCCACAGCUGACGUCAGGAAUUUCAGAUACUAUUGUGCAAAGGUCUCACUGGCUGUGGACUCUGCCGUGGUUUAAUCAAAGCAUUGCUACCGACAGACAGCAAAAGUCUGAAGCAGAACGAAAAUCCAAGCCAUACUCCAUGCAGAGAAACACUGGAGCAGCAGAAAUUUUGAGGAGUAUUUUUCCUUUUGUCAGUGAUAAAGCAUAAAAUUCAUGCUUUCUUCACACUGAAGAGGUAAGAAGAUCUAACUCCUCUAUCAAAACAACGAUAGAAAAACAAAAGGUAUAUGCUUACUGAUUGGUUCUUCUUCUUUUUAUAAUUGUUGAACCUCUUUUAAUUAAAUACUGCUUAAAACUUGAAUCAAGGCUAUAUUUAGAUCUAUUUUCUGGCUGGCUAUUUUGAUUUUAGUUAGGUAUAGCUUUUAAUGUUACUGUUCACAUUGACAAUAGUAAUGAAAAAUAAUCUCUGUGAGCCUUCUAGAUAUGCAGUGGUUCUAUCAUCAUUUCCCACAUUUUCAUAAAGAGUUUUUAAUAACAAAUAGAUAGGAAAAAAUAAUAAUUCCAGUGUCAACUGUUUUGUGCAAGUAUUUCUCUUUUGUGCUACUGAAAUAUUGAAAAAAAACACUUGCAUGGAAAUACAUGCACGUUU
This 743-nucleotide long non-coding RNA is filed under the name Anas platyrhynchos (mallard). RNAcentral describes it as "lncRNA (ENSAPLG00020006756.1)". Lineage: Eukaryota; Metazoa; Chordata; Aves; Anseriformes; Anatidae. The record is from RNAcentral.